CUGGAUCCAUUCAUGUUCAAUGAUAUAUCGUAUGAGUGUUCAUGGGUAGUUUGAUACAUCUUCUAAUAUAAGAUCCAGCAAUCUUAUGUGUGAUCUUCACUUCUGUCCUCAACCUUCUCUGGAGGUCAACCCUCACCCGGAGUUACAGCUGCUUCCCAAAGACGACUCCUCCAUUUGGAGUGCCCUGCUGUUUGCAUCCAUCUGACCUCUGGGUGGGCUAGAGCAUUGAAGCUGGAUUGCUGCCUGACUACUCUGCGACACCAAGACUUCCCGCCCCAGUUAAAGAAAAAUCCACUUCAUAGUGAAAAGGAUAAUCGACAAUUUGUCCUUUUGCAAAGAAAGGGGCCUGUGGUUUUCCAGGAUACUCCCACAGAGCAUGCAGGAAUUUCUGGAGGCAGUUUGGAGCAAGAGGUUGGUGAACUUGAAGCCUUUGGCCCAGAACAGGGGAAAAAAAUAAAGACAUUAUUAUGAACCGAGAAUUUUCAAAGAAGACAGUAUAUUUCAACAAGACUUAAAAGAAAAUUAAAGCAGUGUGGAUUUA
Molecule: long non-coding RNA, 541 nt
Organism: Podarcis muralis (Common wall lizard)
Lineage: Eukaryota; Metazoa; Chordata; Lepidosauria; Squamata; Lacertidae
Source: RefSeq, a predicted model, not a curated record